Molecule: long non-coding RNA, 1648 nt
Organism: Cyprinus carpio (common carp)
Lineage: Eukaryota; Metazoa; Chordata; Actinopteri; Cypriniformes; Cyprinidae
Exons: 3
Source: RefSeq, a predicted model, not a curated record
AAUAUCCAUCCCACCUCCCUCUGACAGACAUUUUGAAUAUGUUUUGACUCCAGGGAAAUCACAUGGUCUUUAGUAAAAGCAUUAAAGGCUGCCCAGUUUGCGCUGCUUAAGAGCGUCUCGCUCUCCGUCGGCCCCUGAGGGUCGCGAAACUCAGCCCUCCUCAGGUACGACUCACUACAGAAAACAGUAAGACUUGGAGGCAGCGCUAUGGCAACAGCAGAGCCCGGCAUUAAGAUUCCGGUGGCGUUCCGAUCGCGAGCACACUAGUCACAGGUUUCUCGGGGAAUCUCCUCCAGGCUGCGCUUCCAAGGUCUUUCUGCAGUGACGGGACCACACCUGCAGCACGUACGUCACAGAUACUGUAAAUACAACAGAGAUAACAGGUGGAGGUCGGGCGUGGCUGUUCCUGGUCGAAGCCUUGGAGGCAAAAUCUCUCUAAUGCACUUAGAAUCUGGCACAUACACCUUCCUCCCACUCAGGAAGUCCUGAUGGGGCAGAGAGCACUCACUGCAAAGAAGACAGAGGGGAGAGAGAGAGAAUCCACCGGAGCAUAAACCCCCUGGAGACUGACAGUACAGUGCUUGUAUCUGUGAUGAGGGUGUGUAUGCGUGUGUGCGUGUGUGGGUGUAUUUCAGAGAGGAAAGGACAUGUGGCAGAUUUAAGAGCACUUGUGUGCAGCACGAAGGUGUUUUCCGCCAAGUUGGGAAAUUUUUUUUUUGUCAAAACACGGGCUGAUUGCCAUGGUUAUAAUUACGCUAAUGGCUUCAUUACGGGCAUUAAUUCAGCCCUCAUCAGUCUUUUGCCAGUGAUUAGUUCAAAGUGGAGGAGAGGUGAAACAUAGAGUUCUCAAAAGAAAAUGAUUUUCCUAAACAGGCAGAAUCUACCGGAUCAAGAUGUCCUCCCACAAUCCCUCAUGGUUUUGUAACACACAGAGACUCCGGCCAAUAUCAUCAGAUGGAGUUUGUCAGAUGGAAACUGAUAUAAUCCUGAUUUACUGUUAUGACACCAACUGAAGAUGCACUCGAAAGAAGAAUUCUUCGGCUGAACUUAAUUCAAUUGUGGACAGCACUUCCACACGUUGGAAAUGGGUUUUCCUGACAUUAAAUUAAACUGUGAACCUUGUGAAGUGGAAACCUAACAGAAUAGAAUAAAUGCAAUAAAAUUAGACAUAUCAAAUUAGACCAACCAAGGAUUUGGUAUUUACAUCAGACUUCAUGGAUUUUUAUUAUCGGGUAACUAUGAGAUCAGAUUUCCAUGAAGAGGAUACUAGCUGAUAUCUGGACCAGCAACAUGUUUUUUUAAUGCAAAUAAUGGCCCCUUCUCACAUUUCCAAGUUUCAAAAGUCAUCAUAGUUGCAUAAAGUUCUAUAGUUUAUAUGGUGAAUGAUAACUACAACAAAUCAAAUGUUUAUGUUACCAUUUAAGCCAAUACCAAAAAUAAAUAAUCCAUGAUAUAGUGUUUCUAUGACUUUCCAAAAAGUAAAAAAAAAAUAUUGAAUUAUUGAUUACAGUAGUCAGAAGUGAGAACAAUGUCAAAUUUGCUGUCACUCCCUCAGCUGAAAUGGCAAGGUAAUAUAAUACAAACUUUAGUGUUAUAAAUGUACACAAUUUUUGUAAAAGAAUAUUGGAAAUGCUGAAAACACCAGCAG